UCGAACGGCAGCGCGAGGAGCUUGCUCCUUGGCGGCGAGUGGCGGACGGGUGAGUAAUGCGUAGGAAUCUACCUUGUAGUGGGGGACAACCUGAGGAAACUCGGGCUAAUACCGCAUAAUCUCUACGGAGCAAAGCGGGGGACCUUCGGGCCUCGCGCUACUAGAUGAGCCUACGUCGGAUUAGCUUGUUGGUAGGGUAAAGGCCUACCAAGGCAACGGUCCGUAGCUGGUCUGAGAGGACGAUCAGCCACACUGGGACUGAGACACGGCCCAGACUCCUACGGGAGGCAGCAGUGGGGAAUAUUGGACAAUGGGCGCAAGCCUGAUCCAGCAAUGCCGCGUGUGUGAAGAAGGCCUUAGGGUUGUAAAGCACUUUCAGUAGGGAAGAAAAGCUCAAGGUUAAUAGCCUUGGGUCUUGACGUUACCUACAGAAGAAGCACUGGCUAACUCUGUGCCAGCAGCCGCGGUAAUACAGAGAGUGCAAGCGUUAAUCGGAAUUACUGGGCGUAAAGCGCGCGUAGGUGGAUGUUUAAGUCGGAUGUGAAAGCCCCGGGCUCAACCUGGGAACUGCAUUCGAUACUGGGCAUCUAGAGUAUGGUGGAGGGAAGUGGAAUUUCCGGUGUAGCGGUGAAAUGCGUAGAUAUCGGA
Molecule: ribosomal RNA, 648 nt
Filed under: uncultured bacterium
Lineage: Bacteria
Description: bacterial SSU rRNA
Rfam family: Bacterial small subunit ribosomal RNA
Source: RNAcentral